UGUUUUGCCAUAGGGUCUUGUUGAUCUCA
RNAcentral lists this non-coding RNA (29 nucleotides) under Rattus norvegicus (Norway rat). The record is from RNAcentral. Lineage: Eukaryota; Metazoa; Chordata; Mammalia; Rodentia; Muridae.